RNAcentral lists this ribosomal RNA (2929 nucleotides) under Escherichia coli. Its description in RNAcentral is "bacterial LSU rRNA". It matches the Rfam family "Bacterial large subunit ribosomal RNA". The record is from RNAcentral. Lineage: Bacteria; Pseudomonadati; Pseudomonadota; Gammaproteobacteria; Enterobacterales; Enterobacteriaceae.
GGGUUGUGAGGUUAAGCGACUAAGCGUACACGGUGGAUGCCCUGGCAGUCAGAGGCGAUGAAGGACGUGCUAAUCUGCGAUAAGCGUCGGUAAGGUGAUAUGAACCGUUAUAACCGGCGAUUUCCGAAUGGGGAAACCCAGUGUGAUUCGUCACACUAUCAUUAACUGAAUCCAUAGGUUAAUGAGGCGAACCGGGGGAACUGAAACAUCUAAGUACCCCGAGGAAAAGAAAUCAACCGAGAUUCCCCCAGUAGCGGCGAGCGAACGGGGAGGAGCCCAGAGCCUGAAUCAGUGUGUGUGUUAGUGGAAGCGUCUGGAAAGGCGCGCGAUACAGGGUGACAGCCCCGUACACAAAAAUGCACAUGCUGUGAGCUCGAUGAGUAGGGCGGGACACGUGGUAUCCUGUCUGAAUAUGGGGGGACCAUCCUCCAAGGCUAAAUACUCCUGACUGACCGAUAGUGAACCAGUACCGUGAGGGAAAGGCGAAAAGAACCCCGGCGAGGGGAGUGAAAAAGAACCUGAAACCGUGUACGUACAAGCAGUGGGAGCCUCUUUAUGGGGUGACUGCGUACCUUUUGUAUAAUGGGUCAGCGACUUAUAUUCUGUAGCAAGGUUAACCGAAUAGGGGAGCCGAAGGGAAACCGAGUCUUAACUGGGCGUUAAGUUGCAGGGUAUAGACCCGAAACCCGGUGAUCUAGCCAUGGGCAGGUUGAAGGUUGGGUAACACUAACUGGAGGACCGAACCGACUAAUGUUGAAAAAUUAGCGGAUGACUUGUGGCUGGGGGUGAAAGGCCAAUCAAACCGGGAGAUAGCUGGUUCUCCCCGAAAGCUAUUUAGGUAGCGCCUCGUGAAUUCAUCUCCGGGGGUAGAGCACUGUUUCGGCAAGGGGGUCAUCCCGACUUACCAACCCGAUGCAAACUGCGAAUACCGGAGAAUGUUAUCACGGGAGACACACGGCGGGUGCUAACGUCCGUCGUGAAGAGGGAAACAACCCAGACCGCCAGCUAAGGUCCCAAAGUCAUGGUUAAGUGGGAAACGAUGUGGGAAGGCCCAGACAGCCAGGAUGUUGGCUUAGAAGCAGCCAUCAUUUAAAGAAAGCGUAAUAGCUCACUGGUCGAGUCGGCCUGCGCGGAAGAUGUAACGGGGCUAAACCAUGCACCGAAGCUGCGGCAGCGACGCUUAUGCGUUGUUGGGUAGGGGAGCGUUCUGUAAGCCUGUGAAGGUGUGCUGUGAGGCAUGCUGGAGGUAUCAGAAGUGCGAAUGCUGACAUAAGUAACGAUAAAGCGGGUGAAAAGCCCGCUCGCCGGAAGACCAAGGGUUCCUGUCCAACGUUAAUCGGGGCAGGGUGAGUCGACCCCUAAGGCGAGGCCGAAAGGCGUAGUCGAUGGGAAACAGGUUAAUAUUCCUGUACUUGGUGUUACUGCGAAGGGGGGACGGAGAAGGCUAUGUUGGCCGGGCGACGGUUGUCCCGGUUUAAGCGUGUAGGCUGGUUUUCCAGGCAAAUCCGGAAAAUCAAGGCUGAGGCGUGAUGACGAGGCACUACGGUGCUGAAGCAACAAAUGCCCUGCUUCCAGGAAAAGCCUCUAAGCAUCAGGUAACAUCAAAUCGUACCCCAAACCGACACAGGUGGUCAGGUAGAGAAUACCAAGGCGCUUGAGAGAACUCGGGUGAAGGAACUAGGCAAAAUGGUGCCGUAACUUCGGGAGAAGGCACGCUGAUAUGUAGGUGAAGUCCCUCGCGGAUGGAGCUGAAAUCAGUCGAAGAUACCAGCUGGCUGCAACUGUUUAUUAAAAACACAGCACUGUGCAAACACGAAAGUGGACGUAUACGGUGUGACGCCUGCCCGGUGCCGGAAGGUUAAUUGAUGGGGUCAGCGCAAGCGAAGCUCUUGAUCGAAGCCCCGGUAAACGGCGGCCGUAACUAUAACGGUCCUAAGGUAGCGAAAUUCCUUGUCGGGUAAGUUCCGACCUGCACGAAUGGCGUAAUGAUGGCCAGGCUGUCUCCACCCGAGACUCAGUGAAAUUGAACUCGCUGUGAAGAUGCAGUGUACCCGCGGCAAGACGGAAAGACCCCGUGAACCUUUACUAUAGCUUGACACUGAACAUUGAGCCUUGAUGUGUAGGAUAGGUGGGAGGCUUAGAAGUGUGGACGCCAGUCUGCAUGGAGCCGACCUUGAAAUACCACCCUUUAAUGUUUGAUGUUCUAACGUUGACCCGUAAUCCGGGUUGCGGACAGUGUCUGGUGGGUAGUUUGACUGGGGCGGUCUCCUCCUAAAGAGUAACGGAGGAGCACGAAGGUUGGCUAAUCCUGGUCGGACAUCAGGAGGUUAGUGCAAUGGCAUAAGCCAGCUUGACUGCGAGCGUGACGGCGCGAGCAGGUGCGAAAGCAGGUCAUAGUGAUCCGGUGGUUCUGAAUGGAAGGGCCAUCGCUCAACGGAUAAAAGGUACUCCGGGGAUAACAGGCUGAUACCGCCCAAGAGUUCAUAUCGACGGCGGUGUUUGGCACCUCGAUGUCGGCUCAUCACAUCCUGGGGCUGAAGUAGGUCCCAAGGGUAUGGCUGUUCGCCAUUUAAAGUGGUACGCGAGCUGGGUUUAGAACGUCGUGAGACAGUUCGGUCCCUAUCUGCCGUGGGCGCUGGAGAACUGAGGGGGGCUGCUCCUAGUACGAGAGGACCGGAGUGGACGCAUCACUGGUGUUCGGGUUGUCAUGCCAAUGGCACUGCCCGGUAGCUAAAUGCGGAAGAGAUAAGUGCUGAAAGCAUCUAAGCACGAAACUUGCCCCGAGAUGAGUUCUCCCUGACCCUUUAAGGGUCCUGAAGGAACGUUGAAGACGACGACGUUGAUAGGCCGGGUGUGUAAGCGCAGCGAUGCGUUGAGCUAACCGGUACUAAUGAACCGUGAGGCUUAACCUUACAACGCCGAAGCUGUU